UACGUAGGGUGCAAGCGUUAAUCGGAAUUACUGGGCGUAAAGCGUGCGCAGGCGGUUUUGUAAGUCUGACGUGAAAUCCCCGGGCUCAACCUGGGAAUUGCGUUGGAGACUGCAAGGCUAGAAUCUGGCAGAGGGGGGGUAGAAUUCCACGUGUAGCAGUGAAAUGCGUAGAGAUGUGGAGGAACACCGAUGGCGAAGGCAGCCCCCCUGGGUCAAGAUUGACGCUCAUGCACGAAAGCGUGGGGAGCAAACAGGAUUAGAAACCCGUAG
This 270-nucleotide ribosomal RNA is filed under the name uncultured bacterium. RNAcentral describes it as "partial 16S ribosomal RNA". It matches the Rfam family "Bacterial small subunit ribosomal RNA", at positions 524 to 793 of the family's 1533-position model. The record is from RNAcentral.